CUGACUGCCCUAGAGACUGAAGUCCUCUAGUUAUCCAGAGGACAAGAAGCUGUAGUGCAGGUUUUCCCCACAUUAUCCCCCCGUGUCUCAACUCUUAGGAAGGAUACAUCUCCAAAGGUGAGAGGGGGUUCAGUUUCCAUGGCCCAGUCCAUCUUCAGCCUUU
RNAcentral lists this small RNA (163 nucleotides) under Chelonoidis abingdonii (Abingdon island giant tortoise). Its description in RNAcentral is "TUC338 (ENSCABG00000005223.1)". Lineage: Eukaryota; Metazoa; Chordata; Testudines; Testudinidae. The record is from RNAcentral.